Oncorhynchus kisutch (coho salmon) is the source of this 4320-nucleotide long non-coding RNA. Lineage: Eukaryota; Metazoa; Chordata; Actinopteri; Salmoniformes; Salmonidae. The record is from Ensembl.
AUGCAGGCAGGGGGUCCAAUAUUUUCAACCAGUCCCCUGUAUCCUGUCCUCUACCUGAGGUGGCACCUGUACACUGUCCUCUACCUGGGGGGCCCCUGUACACAGCCUCUACGUGGGGUGGCCCCUGUACCCGGCCUCUACCUGGGGGGGGGGCCCUGUACCCGGCCUCUACCUGGGGGGCCCCUGUACACUGUCCUCUACCUGGGGUGGCACCUGUACACUGUCCUCUACCUGGGGGGCCCCUGUACACUGUCCUCUACCUGGGGGGCCCCUGUACACAGCCUCUACCUGGGGUGGCCCCUGUACCCGGCCUCUACCUGGGGUGGCACCUGUACACUGUCCUCUACCUGGGGUGGCACCUUUACACUGUCCUCUACCUGGGGGGGGCCCUGUACCCGGCAUAUACCUGGGGUGGCACCUGUACACUGUCCUCUACCUGGGGUGGCACCUAUACACUGUCCUCUACCUGGGGGGGGGGGGGGCCUGUACCCGGCAUCUACCUGGGGUGGCACCUGUACACUGUCCUCUACCUGGGGUGGCACCUAUACACUGUCCUCUACCUGGGGGGGGGGGCCCUGUACCCGGCAUCUACCUGGGGUGGCACCUGUACACUGUCCUCUACCUGGGGUGGCACCUAUACACUGUCCUCUACCUGGGGGGGGGGCCCUGUACCCGGCAUCUACCUGGGGUGGCACCUGUACACUGUCCUCUACCUGGGGUGGCACCUAUACACUGUCCUCUACCUGGUGGGGGGCCCUGUACCCGGCAUCUACCUGGGGUGGCACCUGUACACUGUCCUCUACCUGGGGUGGCACCUAUACACUGUCCUCUACCUGGGGUGGCACCUGUACACUGUCCUCUACCUGGGGUGGCACCUGUACACUGUCCUCUACCUGGGGUGGCACCUAUACACUGUCCUCUACCUGGGGGGGGGGCCCUGUACCCGGCAUCUACCUGGGGUGGCACCUGUACACUGUCCUCUACCUGGGGUGGCACCUAUACACUGUCCUCUACCUGGUGGGGGGCCCUGUACCCGGCAUCUACCUGGGGUGGCACCUGUACACUGUCCUCUACCUGGGGUGGCACCUAUACACUGUCCUCUACCUGGGGUGGCACCUGUACACUGUCCUCUACCUGGGGUGGCACCUGUACACUGUCCUCUACCUGGGGUGGCACCUAUACACUGUCCUCUACUCUCCUCAUAACAUCAUGAUGCCCCUUGCCUGGUGACACCUUUUAAAAUCUGUUCAACAGGUGACCAAACCCCUGCUGCCGCUCCUAUUCUGUCAGCUCAUGCUAUCACACAACAACCCCCUAGGAACUGGUCUACUUUAACAGAGAUACACAACAACCCCCUAGGAACUGGUCUCAGUUAACAGAGAUACACAACAACCCCCUAGGAUCUGGUCUCCGUUAACAGAGAUACACAACAACCCCCUAGGAACUGGUCUCCGUUAACAGAGAUACACAACAACCCCCUAGGAACUGGUCUCCGUUAACAGAGAUACACAACAACCCCCUAGGAACUGGUCUCCGUUAACAGAGAUACACAACAACCCCCUAGGAACUGGUCUCCGUUAACAGAGAUACACAACAACCCCCUAAGAUCUGGUCUCCGUUAACAGAGAUACGGCAGGGUAGCCUAGUGGUUAGAGCGUUGGACUAUUAACCGGAACGUUGCAAGUUCAAAUCCCCGAGCUGACAAGGUACAAAUCUGUCGUUCUGCCCCUGAACAGGCAGUUAACCCACUGUUCCUAGGCCGUUAUUGAAAAUAAGAAUUUGUUCUUAACUGACUUGCCUAGUAAAAUAAAAUAAAAUAAAGGUCAAAAAUACACAACAACCCCCUAGGAACUGGUCUCCAUUAACAGAGAUACACAACAACCCCCUAGGAACUGGUCUCCAUUAACAGAGAUACACAACAACCCCCUAGGAACUGGUCUCCAUUAACAGAGAUACACAACAACCCCCUAGGAACUGGUCUCCAUUAACAGAGAUACACAACAACCCCCUAGGAACUGGUCUCAGUUAACAGAGAUACACAACAACCCCCUAGGAACUGGUCUCAGUUAACAGAGAUACACAACAACCCCCUAGGAACUGGUCUCCAUUAACAGAGAUACACAACAACCCCCUAGGAACUGGUCUCAGUUAACAGAGAUACACAACAACCCCCUAGGAUCUGGUCUCCGUUAACAGAGAUACACAACAACCCCCUAGGAACUGGUCUCCGUUAACAGAGAUACACAACAACCCCCUAGGAACUGGUCUCCAUUAACAGAGAUACACAACAACCCCCUAGGAACUGGUCUCCAUUAACAGAGAUACACAACAACCCCCUAGGAACUGGUCUCCGUUAACAGAGAUACACAACAACCCCCUAGGAACUGGUCUCCGUUAACAGAGAUACACAACAACCCCCUAGGAACUGGUCUCCAUUAACAGAGAUACACAACAACCCCCUAGGAACAUACAUACCCUGGUAUCCAACAGAGUUUUCUGUUUUAUCUCUCCCUUUCUCCUCUCUCUCUUCUCUCUCUUCCUCUCUUUGUAAAUUGGCAUUGUAGAUACUUGAGGAAAUAGUUUGGUAAUAUCUAUAAUUUAGCAGCAAUGCUGUUUGUUUUUUAAAAUAAUGACAAAGUAUUGUGAAUGAUAUAUUUGUUGAUUGGUUUUGAAAAUCCAACUCCUCUGGCUCUUAAAGUACAGUAAUGUAAGGCGGCACAUGAUGUUCAGCAGAACAAAAAGCUCCACUAGAAAAGUGAUUCAACUAUGUUGAAACUAAGGAUUACUAGCUAAGUGAUGAUAUUGUAGUUACAAAUGUAAAUAAAAUAAUGACAUGAAUGUUUUAUAAUUAAAUGGUAAAAUUCACCUGUUGUUGUCUACCUUUUACUGUUGUGUUAGAAACUAAAGCUGUGUUUUAAGUGAGAACAGGUAUUGAUCUGAAGCCGGGGAAAAAAUAAGGAAAUUCAUGAGCACCACCAAUGCCUAUUCCACCCAUGUUUUACCAAGGUUUUCCAUCACACAGCGUCGAUCUACUACAGUAGCUAUGUUGAUAUUGUACACCAAACUAUGUGUAGGCAGGUUGCUUAGGAUUCAGACCUCAUUCACUCUUAGAGGAGGCCACACAAUAAUGUGAUUUGUACCACAUACAAGAUGAAGUAUUGGAUUCUCCACACACCACAGUAAGACAUUAUCCCAUUACACAGCUUUUUAAUUAUUAAAUAAACGCAAGCUUUGCAAGGCUUGACGGAGCUGUUUUGUCUCGUAUAAAUGUGCUACAGGCCUGCCUUUUUAUUUCCUUAAACCUGUAUUUUAGCAAAACAUCAGAAUAACAUGCUUUGUUGGUCAGUAGGUAAACAGCAGGAGGAGAUGUGUUGGACAGCUCAGAUAAAGCCUGUCUGCAUUCCUGGUUUAUGUAACCGUUAGUUUACCUGUGGAAUAUUGACAUAAGCUCAGGACCGCUUGUGUUUCAAACAUGGUCCUGUUUAAUCAUGGCUAUGCUGGUCAAUAGACAGCUCAUUACCUCUGUCAAAAUAAUAUGUAGCUUAAAGAUGUGUGUUUGUACUCGUAUUUCUUUGCGCAACAAUGAUGGUGACGCAGCAAUAAUACACAUUUACAAUAGGUCUAUAUCAACAAUACAUACAGACAAAUAAUCUACAGUGCAUUCAGGAAGUAUUCAGAUCCAUUGACUUAACACAUUUUGUUUGUUAGGUUACAACCUAAAUCUAAAAUGGAUUAAAUAUUAGAUUUUUAAAAACAUCACAACACCACAUAAUAACAAAGCAGGUUUUAGAAUUUUUUGUGAAUUUAUUUAAAAAAAAUAAACAGAUACCUUUUUACAUACGUUUUCAGACUCUUUGCUAUGAGACUCUAAAUUGAGUUCAGGUGCAUCCUGUUUCCGUUGAUCAUUCUUGAGAUGUUUCUACAACUUGGUUGGAGUCCACCUGUGGUAAAUUCAAUUGAUUGGACAUGAUUUGGAAAGGCACACACCUGUCUAUAUAAGGUCCCACAGUUGACAGUGAAUGUCAGAGCAAAAACCAAGUAAUGAGGUCAAAGGAAUGGUCCGUAGAGCUCAGAGACAGGAUUGUGUUGAGGCACAGAUCUGGGGAAGGGUACCAAAUAAUUUUUGCAUCAUUGAAGGUCCCCAGGAAGGCCUCCAUCAUUCUUAACUGGAAGAAGUUUGGAACCACCAAGACUCUUCCUAGAGCUGGCCGUCCGGCCAAACUGAGCAAUCGGGGGAGAAGGGCCUUGGACAGGGAGGUGACCAAAAACCCGAUAGUCACUCUGACAACGCUCCAGAGUUCCUCUGUGGAGAUGAGAGGA